Molecule: ribosomal RNA, 497 nt
Filed under: uncultured bacterium
Lineage: Bacteria
Description: partial 16S ribosomal RNA
Rfam family: Bacterial small subunit ribosomal RNA
Source: RNAcentral
GACGAACGCUGGCGGCGUGCCUAAUACAUGCAAGUUGAGCGCUGAGGGUUGGUACUUGUCCCAACUGGAUGAGCAGCGAACGGGUGAGUAACGCGUGGGGAAUCUGCCUUUGAGCGGGGGACAACAUUUGGAAACGAAUGCUAAUACCGCAUAAAAACUUUAAACACAAGUUUUAAGUUUGAAAGAUGCAAUUGCAUCACUCAAAGAUGAUCCCGCGUUGUAUUAGCUAGUUGGUGAGGUAAAGGCUCACCAAGGCGAUGAUACAUAGCCGACCUGAGAGGGUGAUCGGCCACAUUGGGACUGAGACACGGCCCAAACUCCUACGGGAGGCAGCAGUAGGGAAUCUUCGGCAAUGGACGAAAGUCUGACCGAGCAACGCCGCGUGAGUGAAGAAGGUUUUCGGAUCGUAAAACUCUGUUGGUAGAGAAGAACGUUGGUGAGAGUGGAAAGCUCAUCAAGUGACGGUAACUACCCAGAAAGGGACGGCUAACUACGUG